ACUCUAGUAUUGACCUCAAUCCACAUGUGUUGAGGUGGAUUGGGGUGUAAAUUAAUUUAAGUUACACCCCAAUCCACCGCAAUACAUGUGGAUUGAGGUCAAUACUAGA
Molecule: microRNA precursor, 109 nt
Filed under: Zea mays
Lineage: Eukaryota; Viridiplantae; Streptophyta; Magnoliopsida; Poales; Poaceae
Description: MIR5565 microRNA precursor family
Rfam family: MIR5565 microRNA precursor family
Source: Rfam by way of RNAcentral